RNAcentral lists this ribosomal RNA (248 nucleotides) under uncultured bacterium. RNAcentral describes it as "partial 16S ribosomal RNA". It matches the Rfam family "Bacterial small subunit ribosomal RNA", at positions 93 to 339 of the family's 1533-position model. The record is from RNAcentral.
GAGCGGCGGACGGGUGAGUAACGCGUGGGCAACCUACCUUACACAGGGGGAUAACACCGGGAAACUGGUGCUAAUACCGUAUGAAAUCAAACUACGGCAUCGUAGAAUGAUUAAAGGAGUAAUCCGGUGUAAGAUGGGCCCGCGUCCGAUUAGCUAGUUGGUGGGGUAAUGGCCUACCAAGACUAUGACGCGUAUCUGGUUUGAGAGGAUGAUCAGACACACUGGAACUGAGACACGGUCCAGACUCC